UUCGCAAUGCCCGAAAGGGUGACGAAGCGACGCCGCGUGGGUGAGGAAGGCCCUCGGGUCGUAAAGCCCUGUCAGGAGUUAAGAAAUGUAAGUGCGCUAAUAUCGCAUUUAUUUGACGAAGGCUCCAAAGGAAGCCACGGCUAACUCUGUGCCAGCAGCCGCGGUAAUACAGAGGUGGCAAGCGUUGUUCGGAAUUAUUGGGCGUAAAGAGCACGUAGGUGGGUUUGUAAGUCAGAUGUGAAAGCCUUCUGUUCAACGGAAGAAUUGCAUCUGAAACUACAAGUCUUGAGUGUAGGAGGGGAGAAUGGAACUUCUGGUGGAGCGGUGAAAUGCGUAGAUAUCAGAAGGAACGCCGGCGGCGAAAGCGAUUCUCUGGCCUAUUACUGACACUCAGUGUGCGAAAGCUAGGGGAGCAAACGGGAUUAGAUACCCCGGUAGUCCUAGCCGUAAACGAUGGGCACUAAGUAGAGGGGUUUU
RNAcentral lists this ribosomal RNA (477 nucleotides) under Candidatus Scalindua brodae. RNAcentral describes it as "bacterial SSU rRNA". It matches the Rfam family "Bacterial small subunit ribosomal RNA", at positions 365 to 832 of the family's 1533-position model. Lineage: Bacteria; Pseudomonadati; Planctomycetota; Candidatus Brocadiia; Candidatus Brocadiales; Candidatus Scalinduaceae. The record is from RNAcentral.